This is a non-coding RNA of Macaca mulatta (Rhesus monkey), 2003 nucleotides long. The record is from RefSeq and is a predicted model, not a curated record. Lineage: Eukaryota; Metazoa; Chordata; Mammalia; Primates; Cercopithecidae.
GUCAGCAAGCGACCGCGCUGGGCCGUUUCUCUUUCUUUUCAGGACCCAGCAGUGGCGCCUAAAGUCUGCACGGAGAAAAUCGCCUGUGUGCUGAGCAUGGGAACCUACAAGGCCUGGAUCAACACCUAGUUGGGACAGGAGACCACCAGGGCAGUGCACAACUGGGAUUUCAGUCUCUCGUGUCAUCUCCUGGUUCCACUGGUGCCACUGAGGGCAGCUAGACUCUGCAGCCAGGCGGCCUGGAUUCAACUCCCUACCUGGGUCUCACCAGCAUUUUCCCUCUUGGUGCCUUAGUUUCCUCAUCUAUGAAAUAGGGAAACUAACAGCAUUUAUUUAUUGUGGUUGGAUGAAUGAAAAGGGUUAGUAUAUAUGAAGUGUUUGCAGCUGUGCCAUAUUAUUUUUGUUAUUUUAUUAUAUUUUGAUAUAUUACAUAUGCUGUAAUUGCAUUAUUAUAGGUGACCUUUAUGAGUGAGUGUCCUGGUGACGGCUCUUCCUGGGGAGCCCAGGACCAGCUUCCCUGGCACCUUGAGGUCCUAUCACCCCUGUUACACUCUCACCCCAUUCUACUCUGUCUUCAUAUUUUAUGCUAUUGAUAUUUAGUUCUUAAACAGACAUUUCUGGUCUGUGUUUUAAUUCAAGUGUCUGGGAAGGGAUAGAGUGUGAGGUUCAGGAGAGAAGGAGAGGUCUGUCUUGAUGCCUUGACACAGCACAGAGAAAUCUCCCCCCCGCCCACAUCGCUCUGUCAGUUCUCAGUGAGGGACAGAUUCACAGCAACUUAUACAAUUAUAAGUUGGAAGAAUGAGGGAAAGAGAGAGAGAGAGAGAGAGAGAGAGAAAGCUGAACUGGAAUAGGUUAGGGGUUGUGUCCCACUAGGAACCAUAAUUGAUCUUUGCCAUUUUGAAAGUGUGUCCCCUGAGCUGCCUUCAGAGAGUUCAGGAGGGAAACCUGUUUUCACAGAAAUACCAAGAUGCCAUCUGCCUGUUUCAUUAUGUUGACUUUUCCAUUAAUGCUGCAAAUGCCAAGGUAGGUAACACACCCAGCACCUUAGCAGAACCAAGGCAGUGGCUCCAAACUGCAUUCCCACUUAAGAAUCUUUUUGAUGGAGAAGGAAAAAAAUUUAUGUUCAUUAAAUUUUAAUCCUUGAGUACAUGUCUUUAAUAUUUUUGUGAGAAAAUGGGAAAUAUGCAUAAAACACUUACUGCACAGAGAAGCAGGAUGGUAGCCUUGAGAAAGGGCACUUGUGUGACUCAGUUAUGAGUUCAACCAGCAGAUCUCAUUCACCCACAGAAAGACAAUGGCAUUAUUUCCAGUUUGGGGGUAUUAUGAAUAAAGCUGCAAGAGUAUUUGUGUACAGGUAUUUUGUGAAUACAAAGUUUUCCCUUGUUUGAAAUAAGUGCCUAGUAGGGCAAUUGCUAGUCAUAAGGUAAACUGCAUGUUCAGUUUGAAGAAAACUGCAAUAUCCAUUUCCAGAGUGGCUGUACCAUUUUAAAAUACAUUCCUACCAGCAAUAUAAGAGUGACCCAGUUUUUCUGCAUCCUUGCCAGCAUCUGUUGCUACCUUUAUUUUGUAUUUCAGCCAUUCCUAUCAUUGUGGAUUUAAUUUGUGUUCUCUUACUGGAUAAUUAUGUUGAGUGUCUAUUCCUCUGCUUGUUAGCCCAGUGUUUAUCCUCUUUAGUGAAACGUCUGAUUGUGUCUUGCUCAUUGCCUAUUGUGUAUUUGGAUUUCAUUUUUACUGUCGAGUUUUUAAAUUUCUCCAUAUAUUCUGAAUAUAGUCUUUACAGAAUAUGUUGUCUGUAAAUAUCUUCUCUCGUUCUGUAGCUUGUCUUUUUAGCUCUUCACAGGUCUCUCACAGAGCAACAGUUUUUAGUUUUGAUAAGAUCCAAUUUGUUAAUUUUUUCUUUGAUGGAUCAUGCUUUUAGUGUUAUGUCUAAGAACUGUUUGUCCAGUCUUAGUUCUGAUGAUUUUUUCUUAAAAGAUUUGCAAUUUUAAAUUUUAAAUUUAUUU